GGCAGGAAUUAACAUGAAUUGGAUGAAAGAAGUUGAAGUAGUAAUGAGUUGGACUCAAGAGAAGGAGGAAAAGUGCACAAAAGAAGAAUCGCAACCACCGCUGAGCACCAUUUUCACUGCUGAGCGCUAUCUUUGCUGUGGAGUUCUCUGGCUGACGCUUAAGCACCAAUGCUGAGGGGAAAAUCAAGUGUCGUAGCCACCGUUGAGCGACACUUUUACCACUGAGUGCCAGCCUGUUCAGUGAGUUCACUGCCAAAUGCCUGGGCGUCAAUGCUGAG
This 278-nucleotide long non-coding RNA is filed under the name Vigna radiata. RNAcentral's name for it is "long non-coding RNA (VRAD_LNC012441)". The record is from RNAcentral. Lineage: Eukaryota; Viridiplantae; Streptophyta; Magnoliopsida; Fabales; Fabaceae.